Cavia porcellus (domestic guinea pig) is the source of this 1470-nucleotide long non-coding RNA. RefSeq lists it as uncharacterized. The transcript is spliced from 2 exons. NCBI's taxonomy places the organism in Eukaryota, Metazoa, Chordata, Mammalia, Rodentia, Caviidae. The record is from RefSeq and is a predicted model, not a curated record.
GAGCCGUGGCACUGUCAAGUCAUCAGACGCGGUGAUUGCGAGGCCUGUGGGAAAGUACAAAAGCCUGGGCUAGAUUACCCCUCUCAUCGAGCCCGCCUGUGUGGCACCUGUUUCUUAUCACCCCACUAAGUUCCCGCCUCACAGGGUAGUCUGCCUAGCUAUUAAUCCUAUAUAUAGCCAGUGCCUCCACCCCCGAGAGAGAGAGAGACUGAAGCACAAAAGGAGCCGCGGGGAGCGGACCGGUAGAGGCUUCGGGGCAGACUGAAGCACGGAAGGAGCCGCGGAGAGCGGACCGGUAGAGGCUUCGGGGCAGACUGUAUAAGGAGAGAAUAAAGAAAAGCCUGACCACCGCCAGACCUUGUCGUGUGUCUUUCCUGCCGGCCGGGAGCGGACAUCGACAUUUGGUGGCCCGCACGGGGAUUGAUCAACCCCGAGACGCGGCGGUGGACUGCAUUCUCCUACACAGUGCUGCAGCUGCAGGACAGGAAUCGGGACGAGAGCCAAUGUGGGUCCCAGAGAGGUUGACGCGACAAGUCCCUCGACUGAAGAUCAGGCCUGUUCCACCAGAGGCCAACCGCAGACCCAACAACAAGAUGAGCCCUAAAAGAACUGCAGGACAAUCCCUUUUUGGGGGCCUGGAAAGGCUUGCUCCCCUAUGUGCUACCCUUGUAUACGCAUGGCUCGCUCGCAUGGCCUACGACCGCGUUUAAAAGUGACAGGCUUCCCACAUUCUCCUCCCUAGACAACAACAUGUAGCAGGGUGGGUGAGUCAAUGACGGGUAAGAGCGUGCCUCCCCAGCACGACUCAACCUAAGCCAGGCCCUACCCCGUUCCGCUCGAAAGCCGCUGGAUUGUUAGAUAAAUUUCUCUCCAAGGGGAUUCGUGGAGAGAAAUGAGUGCAUGCCUAUGUGCAACCAGGUUCCGUCCGGUUCAUUCCUGGCCCUAGAAAAAAGGACGAGGGCCUCAGGGCCUUGGUGGACCCUGGGACGGCCGACCAGGGUCUACACUAAGGGCCUACGGUGGGCCUCAGUUCGGGGCAUAGGCCUCUGCACUCUAUCCAGGACGGGCUGCGAUGCGCGUAGCCAUCAUUUAAAAUAAAAUAGGGGGAGAUGUUGGGAGCCGUGGCACUGUCAAGUCAUCAGACGCGGUGAUUGCGAGGCCUGUGGGAAAGUACAAAAGCCUGGGCUAGAUUACCCCUCUCAUCGAGCCCGCCUGUGUGGCACCUGUUUCUUAUCACCCCACUAAGUUCCCGCCUCACAGGGUAGUCUGCCUAGCUAUUAAUCCUAUAUAUAGCCAGUGCCUCCACCCCCGAGAGAGAGAGAGACUGAAGCACAAAAGGAGCCGCGGGGAGCGGACCGGUAGAGGCUUCGGGGCAGACUGAAGCACGGAAGGAGCCGCGGAGAGCGGACCGGUAGAGGCUUCGGGGCAGACUGUAUAAGGAGAGAAUAAAGAAAAGCCUGACCACCGCCA